UACGGAGGGUGCAAGCGUUGUUCGGAAUUAUUGGGCGUAAAGGGCGCGCGGGCGGUUUAUGUUAGUCUGCUGUGAAAAAGCGAUCGGCCUUAACCGGUGUCUUGCGGCGGGAUACUGCAUAGCUUGAGUACUGGAGAGGAAGUGGAAUCCCGGUGUAAUCGGUGAAAUGCGUAGAUAUCGGGAGGAACACCGGUGGCGAAGGCGGCUUUCUGGCCAGUUACUGACGCUCAUGACGCGAGAGCUGGGUUAGCGAACCGGAUUAGAUACCCCCGUAGU
Molecule: ribosomal RNA, 276 nt
Filed under: uncultured prokaryote
Description: partial 16S ribosomal RNA
Rfam family: Bacterial small subunit ribosomal RNA
Source: RNAcentral